RNAcentral lists this ribosomal RNA (504 nucleotides) under uncultured bacterium. Its description in RNAcentral is "bacterial SSU rRNA". It matches the Rfam family "Bacterial small subunit ribosomal RNA", at positions 21 to 518 of the family's 1533-position model. The record is from RNAcentral.
GGCUCAGGAUGAACGCUAGCGGCAGGCUUAACACAUGCAAGUCGAGGGGCAACGCGAGUAGCAAUACUUGGCGGCGACCGGCGCAAGGGUGCGUAACGCGUGAGCAACAUGCCCGUAUCAGGGGGAUAAUCCAGGGAAACUUGGUCUAAUACCCCAUAGUAAUUUUUGUAAGGCAUCUUAUAAGAUUUAAAGCUUUGGUGGAUACGGAUUGGCUCGCGUGACAUUAGCUGGAUGGUAAGGUAACGGCUUACCAUGGCUAUGAUGUCUAGGGGUUCUGAGAGGAAGGUCCCCCACACUGGAACUGAGACACGGUCCAGACUCCUACGGGAGGCAGCAGUGAGGAAUAUUGGACAAUGGAUGGAAAUCUGAUCCAGCCAUGCCGCGUGAAGGAAAGAAGGUCCUAUGGAUUGUAAACUUCUUUUGUAUGGGAGCAAUAAGGCCUACGCGUAGGUUGAUGAGAGUACCAUACGAAUAAGCACCGGCUAACUCCGUGCCAGCCGCUGC